AAGCGUUAUCCGAAUCACUGGGCGUAAAGGACGCGUAGCGGAUUAUCAAGUCCUGUGAAAUCCUAUGCUUACCAUAGAACCUGCUUGGAACUGAUAAUCUAGAGUGGGGAGAGGCAGAUGAAUUGGUGGUGUAGGGGUAAAAUCCGUAGAGAUCACCAGAAUACCCAUUGCGAAGGCGAUCUGCUGGAACUCAACUGACGCUAAUGCGUGAAAGCGUGGGGAGCAAACAGGAUUAGAUACCCUGGUAGUCACGCCCUAAACGAUGUAUACUAGUUGUUGCUAAGCUAGUCUUGGCAGUAAUGCACCUAACGGAUUAAGUAUACCGCCUGGGGAGUACGGUCGCAAGAUUAAAACUCAAAGGAAUAGACGGGGACCCGCACAAGCGGUGGAGCAUGUGGUUUAAUUCGAAGAUACGCGAAGAACCUUACCCGGACUUGAUAUCUAACAAAUCAUCUAGAGAUAGAAGAGUGUCUGCUUGCAGAAAUGUUAAGACAGGUGCUGCACGGCUGUCGUCAGCUCGUGUCGUGAGAUGUUGGGUUAAGUCCCGCAACGAGCGCAACCCACGUCAUUAGUUGCUAACAGUUAGGCUGAGCACUCUAAUGAGACUGCCUUCGUAAGGAGGAGGAAGGUGUGGACGACGUCAAGUCAUCAUGGCCCUUAUGUCCGGGGCGACACACGUGCUACAAUGGCAUAUACAAUGAGAAGCAAUAUCGCGAGAUGGAGCAAAUCUAUAAAAUAUGUCCCAGUUCGGAUUGGAGUCUGCAACUCGACUCCAUGAAGCCGGAAUCGCUAGUAAUCGUAGAUCAGCCAUGCUACGGUGAAUACGUUCCCGGGUCUUGUACUCACCGCCCGUCACACCAUGGGAGUUGAUUCACUCGAAG
This 881-nucleotide ribosomal RNA is filed under the name Campylobacter concisus. RNAcentral describes it as "bacterial SSU rRNA". It matches the Rfam family "Bacterial small subunit ribosomal RNA", at positions 536 to 1426 of the family's 1533-position model. Lineage: Bacteria; Pseudomonadati; Campylobacterota; Epsilonproteobacteria; Campylobacterales; Campylobacteraceae. The record is from RNAcentral.